RNAcentral lists this ribosomal RNA (207 nucleotides) under uncultured bacterium. RNAcentral describes it as "partial 16S ribosomal RNA". It matches the Rfam family "Bacterial small subunit ribosomal RNA", at positions 568 to 774 of the family's 1533-position model. The record is from RNAcentral.
CGUGUAGGCGGCUCAUCAAGUCUGGUGUGAAAAUGCAGGGCUUAACCCUGCAGAUGCGCUGGAAACUGGUGGGCUUGAGUUCCUGAGGGGAAGCUGGAAUUCCAGGUGUAGGAGUGAAAUCUGUAGAUAUCUGGAAGAGCACCGGUGGCGAAGGCGAGCUUCUAUCAGAGGACUGACGCUGAGGCGCGAAAGCGUGGGGAGCAAACA